RNAcentral lists this non-coding RNA (24 nucleotides) under Arabidopsis thaliana (thale cress). The record is from RNAcentral. Lineage: Eukaryota; Viridiplantae; Streptophyta; Magnoliopsida; Brassicales; Brassicaceae.
UAGUCUCAUCACAUCUAAGGUGCA